UUUAUAUUUUUGUUACAAUAUUCUCCGAUUUAAAAUCGUAUAUUUUUAAUUAUGAAUACAAAUAAUUUGUAUGUUUACGUAAAUUAUAAUUGAUUUCUAAAAGAUAGUGAGAGAAAAAUUAAAUGGUUUUCUCUGUUAGGAUUUAUUCAUAGCAUAAUAUUAAAAAGUCGAGCAAAAGAGAACUCAAGAACAGCUGAUUUUUUUUAUAAGGAAUUGAAGAAAAUAUUUAAAAUCUGAUAAUUUUCACAGCCAUUUAUGUCGCGAUUUGUGGUUUUUCAGAUGUUUCAACAUCACCUAGGAAAUUAACAUUAAGAUAUCAGGAUCCUGCAUAUAACGAGAUAAGAACUAUGAUCUUGUUAGGAUACCUAUUCCGUCACAAUAUGAAGUGAAGAUAUUCAUGGUGUGGAAGUCGUUACUUUAAUUACAUAGUGCAUAUGAAAUUGGUCCUUUACAUCAUGUUUAAAAUUGACGUAAUGCUACUAUGCAAAAUAGUGAGAGAUGUGAACCCUAGGCAGAGCUACAGAAUUACUUUUGUUGAGAGACAAAUUAUGAUAGUGAUUAGAAUCGCAUAUUCUAGACUUUUACUUAAAAAAUGAUUUGUUCGGAAUGAACUUUUAUAGUGUGGAGGAAUACCUGCAAAUUAUAAUAUGAGGCCUACGUAUAUGAUAAUUUUAUUAUGAUCUGUUGUGUUUGUUUUUUUAUAUUUUGUAUUAUAUAUUUGUGUUAGCUUUAAGAAUUUAUUGACUAUUCCUAUACAAUUGUACAUUGUUUUAUGGAAAUAAAUAAAUGAUUGAUUGAUUGAAUAAGUUAGGAAACCAUACGAUCGAGAAAAAAACGGCUUCAAAGGCGACUGGGGAAUGAAAAUAUGAUAAUUUCAGUGAGGUCAAGCCCUAGAAGUCAUUUUCUUGGCUCGUACUAUUUUUUAAAGGCGCUCUAAGGUUGUAAUUUAUUUUUACAUUAAGUAAAUAUGAUUUUUAAAUGGUGUAGUUUAAGAUUGACCUCGCUAAAUUAUCAAUCGUCAUUCCUCAGCCGCCUUUGACGCCGUUUUUUUUAGACUAUUUGCUAUAACUAUGUUAUCUGUUAUGCAAAUACAUAUGUCAACAAGUAAAAAGCCAAUGAGAAAUUAGUUUCUGCUUGGAUCCUUACAGUGGCAUUUAACAAAAUAUAUAUUUUUUCAGGUUACAAUAUUUUAUUUAAUAUGAACCUGUAAAUGUAAGAAUAUUAUACAUAUAUUAUAUUUUUUACUCAGUCCCUAAAUAUAUUAUUAAAAUACAACACUUGUGUUUUUUAUUAAUAUCGUGUUAUGAUUAAUACCUAAUUAAUGUAAAAUUAUAUGGUAUGUAAAUAUCCUUACACUGAGAAUUCGUUUGGUCAAAAUAUUACUCUCUUACUAAUAUGAAUUUGAAAACUACAGAACAUUGUUUUUUUUUAGUUUUUGUGCUAAUAUUUCCACUUAAAAUUACCGAAUAUAUUUAUGGUAUAGGUAGGAAAAGAUGAAUUUUGUGCUUUUUAAUUAUACAUUAUAUUAAUUAUAUUAUUAUUGUAAAUAAUAUCUACUGAUAUUUAAUAUAAAAAAUAGUUAUUCACAUGCAUCUAUUUUUCUUUUGUAAUUAAUACUAUCUAAAUAACAAGACAUCUUAUAUAAUAGAUCCAUUAACAUUUUAGUUUAUCAAUUAUCAAUCACUAUACGAUAUACAAUACGUAUAAUAUCUUUUAAUUAUAUCUAACUUUUAAUUAUUGAAUAUUUAAUAAACAAAUUUUUUAUAGUGUUUGUUAAAUAUUUUAUAGCAUAUACUAUUA
This 1800-nucleotide long non-coding RNA is filed under the name Sitophilus oryzae (rice weevil). Its description in RNAcentral is "uncharacterized LOC115888456, transcript variant X1". The record is from RNAcentral. Lineage: Eukaryota; Metazoa; Arthropoda; Insecta; Coleoptera; Curculionidae.